GCCGGGAUGGCGGAAUCGGUAGACGCGACAGACUUAAAAUCUGUUGCCCCAAAGGGCGUGCGGGUUCAAGUCCCGCUCCCGGCACCA
Molecule: transfer RNA, 87 nt
Filed under: Trueperaceae bacterium
Lineage: Bacteria; Thermotogati; Deinococcota; Deinococci; Trueperales; Trueperaceae
Description: tRNA-Leu
Rfam family: tRNA
About the family: Transfer RNA (tRNA) molecules are approximately 80 nucleotides in length. Their secondary structure includes four short double-helical elements and three loops (D, anti-codon, and T loops). Further hydrogen bonds mediate the characteristic L-shaped molecular structure. tRNAs have two regions of fundamental functional importance: the anti-codon, which is responsible for specific mRNA codon recognition, and the 3' end, to which the tRNAs corresponding amino acid is attached (by aminoacyl-tRNA synthetases). tRNAs cope with the degeneracy of the genetic code in two manners: having more than one tRNA (with a specific anti-codon) for a particular amino acid; and 'wobble' base-pairing, i.e. permitting non-standard base-pairing at the 3rd anti-codon position.
Source: RNAcentral